CCUACGGGUGGCUGCAGUAAGGAAUAUUGGUCAAUGGAGGAAACUCUGAACCAGCCAUCCCGCGUGAAGGAUGAAGGGGCUCUGCCUUGUAAACUUCUUUUGUCUGGGGCGAAAAAGCUCGAUUUAUCGAGCACUGACGGUACCAGAAGAAUAAGCACCGGCUAACUCCGUGCCAGCAGCCGCGGUAAUACGGAGGGUGCAGGCGUUACCCGGAAUCACGGGUGCUUAAGGGUGCGUGUAAGUCAUUGGUGAAAGGCUGUGGCUUAACCAUGGAAUUGCCAUUGAUACUGCAGAGCUUGAAUGAGGUUGAGGUUGGCGGAAUGUGACAUGUAGCGGUGAAAUGCUUAGAUAUGUCAUGGAACACCGAUUGCGAAGGCAGCUGACUGGACCUAUAUUGACGCUGAGGCACGAAAGCGUGGGGAGCGAACAGGAUUAGAUACCCUGGUAGUC
This 450-nucleotide ribosomal RNA is filed under the name uncultured bacterium. RNAcentral describes it as "partial 16S ribosomal RNA". It matches the Rfam family "Bacterial small subunit ribosomal RNA", at positions 338 to 795 of the family's 1533-position model. The record is from RNAcentral.